Long non-coding RNA from Molossus molossus (Pallas's mastiff bat), 1124 nucleotides. RefSeq lists it as uncharacterized. The record is from RefSeq and is a predicted model, not a curated record. The transcript has 3 exons. Lineage: Eukaryota; Metazoa; Chordata; Mammalia; Chiroptera; Molossidae.
CACUGGGAGUGGCGUGAAAUCGCUCUGUGCUCACGCUGUGGGGCCAUGUUUCCCUCCUUGGGCUCGGCUCCCAUCCACAACCCGGCGGUGACUUGGUCCAGGAAGCUAACGUCCAGCCAUGAUAACAGUUUAAAAUAUGGAUCGUCCCAGCCAGAAAUCAGUCAGCUGUUUUCAUCCGCAGCCCCUUCCUGGUGCUCAGGAUGUUGAGGACCGCACGGGACAAGCAGCCCACGAGCCCGCGGUGCUGCCAUCACAGGAAGGACCUGUGGGAGAGUUUGUUGGAGAUGGCCCAUGAGCCAGGCGCGGAAGCCUGGGUACCACUGUUGCCUCAGUGAAAUGAAAACGCCAACGGGCCUGGCAAGGAGUCUGCUCCCCAGAAGGUCCUCUCUGGGUGUCGAGUCUGAAUUUAGGACAAGUAAAAAGACUUAGCAAGUGCGUGCGCUAGUGCUGUGUUUUCAAGUUCGGACGGUGGGCUGGUGAGACUGAAGAGGACGGAGCCCGCGGGGGGAAGCUUCGCAGGAGUUCUUCUGUUGUCAGACAGCUCCGCGGAAUCCCGUCUCUGAAAACCCGCCUGAAGCAUGCAGUGACAUUGCACAACCCGCCUGGAGCCGGAGGUUACAGCCGCGGAGCCCAGAGCGACGGCUUCACACAGCAUGAGAGGAGCCAGCGUCAUGGACGGGCUGCCCCAGACCGGUCUUCCGGAUUUGGUCCUCCGGUCACGGUGGCCAGCCCUUGUCUUAGACGAAUGACACCUCAGCUCAUGCCGGCCAUGGCGCCCAGCAGUGGCAGCGACAGGGCACGACCUCAGUGAGCGGUUUCCUGGCUGUCCUCCAGGACUGCCCGAGCUCAGGGAAGAGACCCCCUGGGGAAAGGCUUUGCCCAGACAGGAGCAGUUACCGGAGGCAGCCCCGCGCCUCGCCUUCUCCCACGGAAAGCACACGGCACAGUUCCACUCAUUUCAGCACCGUUCACCCACCGCGUUCGUUUUCGCGCCGACGCCGUUGCCCGAUUGCUGUGUAAGUGGUAACGCGAGGCUGGAAGGGCUCAGCCCGUGGACGUGGUUCUCAGCCGUGGGGCCUCUGACGUCACCGCAGCCCUCAGCUGCGUCCCAGACAGCCGGUCGC